AAUUAUAGGCAUUACAUUGGAAGGAUCCAGCUAGGGAUAUCAAUGGAUAUGGCUACCCAAAAUUUUAUUCAAAUCUGAACCCGAACAAAGUGGAUUUACUCGAUGUUAAAUGAUUAGUUUCGAAUAUGGAUAUCAAAAUGAAAAUCCAAUCGAUUUUGAUUCAGGUAUGGAUUUUGAUUGUAUCCGACUCAAACUCAACCCAAACCUGAAAUUAUUUUACUUUUAAAAAAAAUUAUAAUAUAAUUGAUAUUUUGUAAAAGAUAAAUUAAUAUUUUUUAAUAAUAAUGCAUAAUAAUAUUAGUAAGUUAUAUAUACAUAAUUAACAAUAUCAAUUAUAAAAAUCAAAAAUGUCAAAUUACAAUUCAAAGUAAAAUUCAAAAAUUUUAAAUAGAUGAGAAAUGAGAGCACUUGUAUUUUAGUUUUUUUUUGUAAAUAUAUUAUGUUUUAGGAAUAUUUCUUUAAAAUAUAAACGAUUUUCAUGGUGGAUUUAGGGGUGGAUUCGGGGCGGAUCCUGCCGGGCGGAUUUGGAGCCGGCAAAAAUUUUUCUUGUUUCCUGCCCUGAACGCAUCUCAGAUUAUAAAAAUUAUCUCGUUUCCUGCUUCGAAUCUAUCUCGGAUCAUAAAAAUUAUAUCGUCUUCUGCCCUAAAUCUGUUUAUUUCUCCCCAUUUACUAUCCCAUUCGGAACUGAUUGGGGCAGGAGGUCCACCAACCUC
This 713-nucleotide long non-coding RNA is filed under the name Ananas comosus (pineapple). RNAcentral describes it as "long non-coding RNA (ACOM_LNC028293)". The record is from RNAcentral. Lineage: Eukaryota; Viridiplantae; Streptophyta; Magnoliopsida; Poales; Bromeliaceae.